This 253-nucleotide ribosomal RNA is filed under the name uncultured bacterium. RNAcentral describes it as "partial 16S ribosomal RNA". It matches the Rfam family "Bacterial small subunit ribosomal RNA", at positions 524 to 776 of the family's 1533-position model. The record is from RNAcentral.
GACAGAGGGUGCAAACGUUGUUCGGAAUUACUGGGCAUGAAGCGCACGUAGGUGGUCCGCUAAGUCGCGUGUGAAAUCCCCCGGCUCAACCGGGGAAAUGCGCGUGAUACUGGCGGGCUUGAGAUCGGGAGGGGUGAAUGGAACUCCAGGUGGAGCGGUGAAAUGCGUAGAUAUCUGGAGGAACACCGGUGGCGAAAGCGGUUCACUGGCCCGACACUGACACUGAGGUGCGAAAGCUAGGGUAGCAAACGGG